This 229-nucleotide ribosomal RNA is filed under the name Clostridioides difficile. Its description in RNAcentral is "partial 23S ribosomal RNA". It matches the Rfam family "Bacterial large subunit ribosomal RNA", at positions 292 to 523 of the family's 2925-position model. Lineage: Bacteria; Bacillati; Bacillota; Clostridia; Peptostreptococcales; Peptostreptococcaceae. The record is from RNAcentral.
UUGGGGUUGCGGACAUAUCAUAACGAAGAGGUAUCGUAAUUGAAGAGGUUUGGAAAGACCCACCACAGAAGGUAAUAGGCCUGUAUGUUAAACGAGAAGACUUUAGAUAUGAUCCAGAGUACCACGGGACACGUGAAACCCUGUGGGAAGCAGGAGGGACCACCCUCCAAGGCUAAAUACUACCUAGUGACCGAUAGCGUAUAGUACCGUGAGGGAAAGGUGAAAAGAA